This is a non-coding RNA of Populus trichocarpa (black cottonwood), 156 nucleotides long. NCBI's taxonomy places the organism in Eukaryota, Viridiplantae, Streptophyta, Magnoliopsida, Malpighiales, Salicaceae. The record is from Rfam.
UCGAGAACUCAAGAUAUGAACUGAAAACAAAACAGUGUCUGAGGUGUAUGACAGAUUCUGACUUCUCCGUUGUUGCUAAGAUUUGAACUUGAAAACAACAUAAUUGAGUCUUGGACUCCUCAUAAAAGUUUUAGGUCUAUGUCUUAGCUUUCCAUC